UACGUAGGGUGCUAGCGUUCUUCGGAAUUACUGGGCGUAAAGCGUAUGUAGGCGGCCAUUUAAGUCAGAUGUGAAAGCCCUGGGCUCAACCUGGGACGUGCAUCUGAUACUAUUUGGCUUGAGUACAGGAGAGGGUAGUGGAAUUUCAGGUGUAGUGGUGAAAUACGUAGAUAUCUGAAGGAACAUCGGUGGCUAAGGCGGCUGCCUGGCCUUGUACUGACGCUGAGAUACGAAAGCGUGGGGAGCAAACAGG
Molecule: ribosomal RNA, 253 nt
Filed under: uncultured bacterium
Lineage: Bacteria
Description: partial 16S ribosomal RNA
Rfam family: Bacterial small subunit ribosomal RNA
Source: RNAcentral